GCGGGACACGUGGUAUCCUGUCUGAAUAUGGGGGGACCAUCCUCCAAGGCUAAAUACUCCUGACUGACCGAUAGUGAACCAGUACCGUGAGGGAAAGGCGAAAAGAACCCCGGCGAGGGGAGUGAAAAAGAACCUGAAACCGUGUACGUACAAGCAGUGGGAGCCUCUUAAUGGGGUGACUGCGUACCUUUUGUAUAAUGGGUCAGCGACUUAUAUUCUGUAGCAAGGUUAACCGAAUAGGGGAGCCGAAGGGAAACCGAGUCUUAACUGGGCGUUAAGUUGCAGGGUAUAGACCCGAAACCCGGUGAUCUAGCCAUGGGCAGGUUGAAGGUUGGGUAACACUAACUGGAGGACCGAACCGACUAAUGUUGAAAAAUUAGCGGAUGACUUGUGGCUGGGGGUGAAAGGCCAAUCAAACCGGGAGAUAGCUGGUUCUCCCCGAAAGCUAUUUAGGUAGCGCCUCGUGAAUUCAUCUCCGGGGGUAGAGCACUGUUUCGGCAAGGGGGUCAUCCCGACUUACCAACCCGAUGCAAACUGCGAAUACCGGAGAAUGUUAUCACGGGAGACACACGGCGGGUGCUAACGUCCGUCGUGAAGAGGGAAACAACCCAGACCGCCAGCUAAGGUCCCAAAGUCAUGGUUAAGUGGGAAACGAUGUGGGAAGGCCCAGACAGCCAGGAUGUUGGCUUAGAAGCAGCCAUCAUUUAAAGAAAGCGUAAUAGCUCACUGGUCGAGUCGGCCUGCGCGGAAGAUGUAACGGGGCUAAACCAUGCACCGAAGCUGCGGCAGCGACACUAUGUGUUGUUGGGUAGGGGAGCGUUCUGUAAGCCUGUGAAGGUGGCCUGUGAGGGUUGCUGGAGGUAUCAGAAGUGCGAAUGCUGACAUAAGUAACGAUAAAGCGGGUGAAAAGCCCGCUCGCCGGAAGACCAAGGGUUCCUGUCCAACGUUAAUCGGGGCAGGGUGAGUCGACCCCUAAGGCGAGGCCGAAAGGCGUAGUCGAUGGGAAACAGGUUAAUA
Molecule: ribosomal RNA, 1017 nt
Filed under: Escherichia coli
Lineage: Bacteria; Pseudomonadati; Pseudomonadota; Gammaproteobacteria; Enterobacterales; Enterobacteriaceae
Description: partial 23S ribosomal RNA
Rfam family: Bacterial large subunit ribosomal RNA
Source: RNAcentral